UACGGAGGAUGCGAGCGUUAUCCGGGUUUAUUGGGUUUAAAGGGUGCGUAGGCGGGAUGCCAAGUCAGCGGUAAAAAUGCGGUGCUCAACGCUGUCGAGCCGUUGAAACUGGCGUUCUUGAGUGGGCGAGAAGUAUGCGGAAUGCGUGGUGUAGCGGUGAAAUGCAUAGAUAUCACGCAGAACUCCGAUUGCGAAGGCAGCAUACCGGCGCCCUACUGACGCUGAGGCACGAAAGCGUGGGUAUCGAACAGG
Molecule: ribosomal RNA, 252 nt
Filed under: uncultured bacterium
Lineage: Bacteria
Description: partial 16S ribosomal RNA
Rfam family: Bacterial small subunit ribosomal RNA
Source: RNAcentral